CCUACGGGGGGCUGCAGUGAGGAAUAUUGGUCAAUGGUCGGGAGACUGAACCAGCCAAGCCGCGUGAGGGAGGAAGGUACAGAGUAUCGUAAACCUCUUUUGUCAGGGAACAAAGGCGGGGACGUGUCCCCGGAUGAGUGUACCUGAAGAAAAAGCAUCGGCUAACCCCGUGCCAGCAGCCGCGGUAAUAAGGAGGAUGCGAGCGUUAUCCGGAUUUAAUGGGUUGAAAGGGAGCGUAGGCCGCAUGUCAAGCGUGCUGUGAAAUGUCCGGGCUCAACCCGGGCCUUGCAGCGGGAACUGGCGUGCUUGAGUCCGCGGAAGGCAGGCGGAAUUCGUCGUGUAGCGGUGAAAUGCUUAGAUAUGACGAAGAACACCGAUUGCGAAGGCAGCUUGCUGCAGCGGAACUGACGCUGAGGCUCGAAAGCGCGGGUAUCGAACAGGAUUAGAUACCCGAGUAGUC
This 460-nucleotide ribosomal RNA is filed under the name uncultured bacterium. RNAcentral's name for it is "partial 16S ribosomal RNA". It matches the Rfam family "Bacterial small subunit ribosomal RNA", at positions 338 to 795 of the family's 1533-position model. The record is from RNAcentral.